Non-coding RNA from Pelodiscus sinensis (Chinese soft-shelled turtle), 4417 nucleotides. Lineage: Eukaryota; Metazoa; Chordata; Testudines; Trionychidae. The record is from RefSeq and is a predicted model, not a curated record.
GCAAAAACUCUUGCGUUAAAAAUAUUUGUGCAAAAUCUUCCCAAUGUAGACAUAGCCAUGGCGUAUUCAGCUCCCUGGGAACUGGGUCAUGAAGGACAGUGCAGAGAGGAGGGAGCUGAGUGAGUGUGGAAUAAUAUUAUAUGGAUUGUUUAUGACAAGCCUAUGCCACUGAAACUGAAAACUCAUCUGUUUACCUUCAUACUGUGUAGUGAAGAACCAUGGGUGAUACAGACAACAGGUUCAGUCCCUAAAGAUGUUUGAGGUAAGAUGUCCUUGUGCCAUAAGGAGUGACAUGGUGAGAUGGAUUUAAUAAUAAAAGCAUAAAGUAUGGAUAUCAAAGUCCAUGAUGUGGAUGACAAAAUCCGGGAAGUCUGACUUCAUUUAUUUGGAUAUGCGCAGAGGCUGAAUGAAGGGGACCUGUGGGCAAAGCAAAGGAGGAGAUGGUGGAUGGAAAGAGAAGCUGAGGAAGCAAUGACAUUGGUUCCCCAUUCCUGGCUUAGGACAUCGCACAUUGCAGCAGAGCUAUUUAUACAAUUACUAGCAGAGGACGAAGACUCGGAUGUGGAUGACCAUGUGAGUGAUGGGGACAGCACCGAAUUGGCAUUGAAUUAGGAUUUCACAGAUCAGUUGUGCAUGGAUUUAUUGUAAAUCUAAGGAAACGUAUGCCAAUGGUCAGAAUAACUGCAGAAAAUUUCAGCAAAAUUCCAGAGAUCUAUUUUGAAAUUCUACAGCAUCAAUUGAACAUGUUGUUGUGCAUUCCCUAUCUUCAUCCGCUGUUAUAAGAUUUACCUAGUAGACUCUAAAUGUAUAAUUGAGAAACAUCACGGUAGAUGUAACUUACACUAUCCAGAAGAAACAACAGAGACAGAGGAGACAUGAAAGGAUAAUUUUGCUUAUACAAAAUAGCAGCCUGAAAAAUAAAAACAAACAAGCAGAUGGAGAAAGCAAAGACUGCAAUACACAGCUGUUAGAAGUAUUUAGAUACCCAGAUGCAGAACAGUUCAAGGGUGGGGGCUGGGAGUUGGGGGAAAGCGUAAUUAGAGUUGAUGGAAGCAUUUUAUUAAUAUUAUAGUGUAUAUUGACGAUGCAAUUUUCAAAGAAGCCUAUGGAGUUAGGUGACCAGUUCCCUGUGACUUUCAAUUGGAAACAUAGGCUUAUCUGAAAAUCCCAGCCUGAAUUCCUGGCUCCUUAUAAAAUGGAAUUUCUUAGUGUCCACACUGGCACAGAAUGAUGAAAGAUGAAAAAGGUACUAAAGAUGGAGUUAAAAAGAUUUGUCAGUAGCUGUUCAUCCUUUUUUCCCCGGUCUAAAUUAAAAAUAAUGCUUUAUAGUAACAAGUUAGAGUAGAGAAAAUUGUUUUUCAAAGCUACAAUUCAUAAUGACAAUUCAUACUUAUACCACAUAGUGCAUUUCAUCUAAGAGUUAAUAUCCUUGGUGAAUAUUAAGCAUCACAGUGUCCUUCAGUCUAAGAGACCAAAUGGUACUUUUGGUCUAUCAUUAGUCCAAAUAACCCUUCCCCCCUUACUUUGUCCAGUAUGAUUUAACAGAGAAUUGGGGAUGUGGUGCUUCUUUUGCUUUUUUGCAUCAGUCUUAAAUUAUAAAGUUCUCCUUCUCCAAACAUUUGAUAUGAUAGAGUCUGUUCAGCUAAAAUGAGUCCCAGAAUGGAGUUUGUAUUCCUGUGUCAUUCACCUUCCUGAUUUUCAGAAUCCCUCCUUAAGCUAGCAGAGCUCACACCCUGCACACACAGUCCCGCACACACAAAAAAGAAUGGCCACGUCAGAAUAAACCCUAAAUAAUUCUGCUGGCUUUUCAUUCAUUUCAGGGGCCCAUUCAAAAUGAUCAUGCUCUUUGAAAAGCUCUUUACAGCUGCCCACUCUCACUGUACUUCUCUCUGAAUUCUCUUUUGUUCAUUUAGCACUUUCUCUGCUCUCCUCUGUCCUUCUGUGUCAUCAGGCUACCUCUUAUAUUAAAGCCUUCUCUUGGACUCUACCAGCUACAGACACAAGGGCCCUUGGCCUGCUUCUGCUCCUCCAUGACUAUGUCAGAAAUACGACCUUUCUUAUGUGCAAUAAAUAACAUUUUAAACAAGCCUUAAACUUACUGCAUCCUUGGAGAAAAACUUCCUAUCCCACACAAGGAAUUUCAGAGGCUAAAUAACUAAGAAAUGAUAGUGGGGUGCAGCUAAGCCUGAGCAAUCGAAAUGUGCCUGAACUAGAGACCAGUGAGAACAUCAAACCUGAACAUGUGUAUUGUAAUAGUUGGCAUUUCUUUACUGAGGAAAAACUGUCAAGUGUCAGGAAUAUGACUUUCACAAAUGGUGAUUUUUAUAAGCAAGGCAAAGAAACACAUUCAGACAAUGCAAAUGUGUUUUGUUUUUGUUUUUUAAUACUAAGGAGAAAAGCUCUGGCAUAUGUCAAAAGAUGUGAAGACUGCCUCAACAGGAGUUCUGUUUAUAGAUCAAGAGCAGUCAGAAUAUAAAUCCUCCAUUAAUUUUGCACACCUAAAAUUCCACGUUGACUACAACAACGAUAUUAAGUUUUCAUAUUUCGUAGGAAUGCAUCACAAUCUUCCUAUUGGUGUUUUGAACCUAAGUAUCAGUUCUGAUUCUGACUUCAGGCAGAGUUCUGAGGGCAUGUCAGAGGCUGAUCUUCUGGUGUUUGAUUUAACGGGUCUAGUAUAGAUCCAUAAAUCAAAACUAAGGGCAACUCCUGCCGGUGUCAGGAGUAAGGGAAGGAGUAAGGGAAGCCAACAGGAGCAUUUUCCCCUCUGGCCUCUAGUAGUGUGUUUGCCACCAAAGCUCAGCUUAAGGUAAGCCGGCUCAAGCUAUGCAUUUUACGUAGCUGGAGUUGUGCACUUUAAGUUGAUCUUCCUGGUCUAGUGUAGACCAGGCUUGAGCAUGUAAAGAACAUGGGAUAAACCCUGAAACCUUGAUCAAGCCCUUGGAUACUGUUCCACACCUAACUGGGGCUGAUUGACCAUUGUGUGUGCUCUAGUUUUAAAUAGAGAGAUUCCAAUAAAGUUAGUGGACUCACACCAUCAUAAAAUGGGUGUAUUACAGUGGAAGAUUAAUUUGAUAGGACUACUCUUAUGAGAAAUGUAUAAAAUCAGACUUUAAGCUGUAAAUUUCAAGGCUGAUGUUAUCAGUCUUUCUGAAUCCAAGGACAAUAUCUUAAACAUUUCAGCCCUCUAGAGGUAGUUGCAACAUUGAUCUUCUCCUCACCCAUGUUAUGAAAUGAAUCAUACUUUCAUGUUUCUGGGAGACUGUUGCACAAAGAAAAGGAAUGACUAUGAACUGUGCUCUUUUUUCCUUGCAUCAAAGAAUUAAGGCUAAACCAAAAAGCCUCUGAACAAGGAGCCAAAGAUUAUACCAUUAGCUGUUGGAGAGAACAAAUCCACUCAGGAUAAAAAUAUAUUGAGCAAAGUUGCUUUUUUUUAAAAUUGGAAAUUCAGAUAAAAUCCUCUGUAUCUCACAUUUUUUUUUCUGUGUUUCCUGUCAGUGCUAUAACAAACCUUUUUGGCUAGCAAACAAGAUUUCUUUGUUGCAGUGCAACUUCGUGCAUGAUUCACUUUUUUCUUAGAAGAAGUUUCAAGCCAAAUAUUGUUUUCGGAAUCUUUUUUCCCUACUUUCCCUUCCCUUCCCAAAUCCUUCUUCCUGAGGGAUAUCCUUGUUCAUGGUAGCCUGCUGUAAACAAAAGAAAGAUGAUAUCAAAGUAAUUGCUUGAAAUAUAAUGACAGGUUUCUUGUACAACAUUUUAGCAAUGCCUUUGCCUGAACAUAGUAUAUUUGCACAGUUAGAAUGCUUGGAAACUAAACAGCCAUUAAAGGAAAGAAACAAAAAAGCCAAACAUAGUACAAAAUAAAAAUAAGACUUAAGCAAAUAAUUGAAUGUCUCUUUAAAUGUAUGGUGCAUAUGUGCACCCCAGCUUAUACUAGCUAUUGCCUGGAUCAGGCAUUUGUAUCUUGGCAGAAAUCUAUACACAUGCUAUCACACACUUUUUUUGGUGUGUUCUUCCAAGAAUGUCCUGAGGGCUGUUUUGAGGCCUCUUGGCCAUUAGUUAAUGUGCAGUCUAUUUAUCUUGAUUCAUCCUUGCCACACUGUUUUCUCAUUCCAUUUUAUUUCUAUUGACGUUUUACAUUAAAAUAGGUACUUCUCCCUACACAACUGUUCUUGUAUCUUAUGAAGUUGCCUGCCACUCAUCUGCUCUGAUCUUAAGUAACCCACCAAUCCCCUUCUCACACAAGACUAUUCAGGUUUUCUCCCAUUCUGGUCUUCACACAUGGCAUGUCCACCCUGGACUACUGCAGGAAACAAUGAGUUUCAGAAAGGAUGUGUCUGUCUUGUUUGUGAAUCUCUUGGCCCUGGUCUAUACUAGGAAGUUAUUUUGAAAUAACUCCCCUUAUUUCAAAAUAACAAAGGGA